This 370-nucleotide ribosomal RNA is filed under the name uncultured bacterium. RNAcentral describes it as "bacterial SSU rRNA". It matches the Rfam family "Bacterial small subunit ribosomal RNA", at positions 527 to 896 of the family's 1533-position model. The record is from RNAcentral.
GGAGGGUGCAAGCGUUAAUCGGAAUUACUGGGCGUAAAGCGCACGCAGGCGGUUGGAUAAAUUAGAUGUGAAAGCCCCGGGCUCAACCUGGGAAUUGCAUUUAAAACUGUCCAGCUAGAGUCUUGUAGAGGGGGGUAGAAUUCCAGGUGUAGCGGUGAAAUGCGCAGAGAUCUGGAGGAAUACCGGUGGCGAAGGCGGCCCCCUGGACAAAGACUGACGCUCAGGUGCGAAAGCGUGGGGAGCAAACAGGAUUAGAUACCCUGGUAGUCCACGCCGUAAACGAUGUCGAUUUGGAGGCUGUGUCCUUGAGACGUGGCUUCCGGAGCUAACGCGUUAAAUCGACCGCCUGGGGAGUACGGCCGCAAGGUUA